Molecule: ribosomal RNA, 253 nt
Filed under: uncultured bacterium
Lineage: Bacteria
Description: partial 16S ribosomal RNA
Rfam family: Bacterial small subunit ribosomal RNA
Source: RNAcentral
UACGGGGGGGGCAAGCGUUGUUCGGAAUUACUGGGCGUAAAGCGUGCGCAGGCGGUUUGCUAAGACAGGUGUGAAAUCCCCGGGCUUAACCUGGGAACUGCGCUUAUUACUGGCAAGCUAGAGUGUGGCAGAGGGGGGUGGAAUUCCAGGUGUAGCAGUGAAAUGCGUAGAGAUCUGGAGGAACACCGAUGGCGAAGGCAGCCCCCUGGGCUAACACUGACGCUCAUGCACGAAAGCGUGGGGAGCAAACAGG